CACAGCCUGAAUUAUUGUACUGGCUUGAUUAAAUGAUUUAAGUUGACUCAAAUCCAGACCCCAUUGACAAAAACACUAAGUUUUAUUCAAUUGGUCUCUUAACAACAGAGCAAAUCGCCCUUUUCUGCUACGUGGACAUUUUUACCCAGAGUUCGGCCUUUCAGGUUGCCUUUCCUGGUUUUAGAUCGACAUGAGCAACUGAAUUUAAACCUUUUGACUUAUUUUUCGACAACUAUUUGGCAUACUUCCGUUAAAACCUGAAAAUCGUUAACCUCGCUUCCUGUUUUGGAGCAAAAGAGGGGGAGGGGCGAGCGGAUUGUCACUCCGACGACCUCCGAACGGUUCCGAUGUUGGCCGAUCACCUGCAUCGUCGGUGCCGUUCUUGCUGCGUGUCCUGCCCGAGUCUGCAUCGUUCAUCUCUGACACUCUUUCCAUCAUGGUGGACAUCUUGAUGUUGAUGUUUUUCGCCAUCGUAGGCCUCGUCUUCCUUUCCUACAUCAUCUACAUGCUGUGAUGAUCCCGCUCGGCCCCGCAGGCGGCCGGUACUCAGUCGAACACGGGAUGUGUGUCUCCCCCCUCCCGUGUCCCUGGUUUCCGUCGUGGACGAUGGGAGAAGAGACGGCAGUCUGGCCCUGACGGUUUCCCAUUGGAGCUCACAUGUAGGAGGUGAAGAGCAGGCCAGCGGAGAAGAAGAACAGAUGGGAGAAGAAACUCUUCCUGUCUGCCACUUGCCUCAUCACAUCUCACCUCCACCUGUGCACAAGUCCGAUAAAUGUGUAGAUAUGGAUGCAGGAGGGUUGUAUGGCACUGUAAGUGAGUAGUUGUGUGUGUUAUUGGGAUGCACGAUACGCGAUUCGUGCUGAUAUUUUCCAGUUUACAGCAGCGAUAUGCGCAUGUUUUCCUCCGUCUUUAUGCACAGAUUUCACAUUGUUAUGGCUACCCCUGUUGUGGAGUGCAGUCUUUUCAUCACGCAAAAUAAGAAAACUACUCAGCCACCAGUUUGCAUUGUGCUUAAUUAAAGCGCCUUCUCAUGCCCCUGUGGCAUCAGCAGAGAUGUUCAUCCCGGGCUGAUGCCGCUGACAUGCUGAUUAUUACCGUGCAUCCCAGAUGUAAUGUUCUGUUUGACGUCCAUGUAACCGUGUGGCCGACCCCUCUGUACUCGUGUUUAGUUGCUGGAGAGCUUUUGAUUUCUCCUGUUGUGAGAAAUGCGUUGGUUUUAUUCACAUGUUGCCAAUAUGUUCUUCUCCUCACUACAAUCAGGAUUCCCUCUCAGGUUAAAUAACUCAGCAGUUAAUGUUUCUCUGUUUUGGUCGAUUUCUCCAGCUUCAAGUGACAUGCAUGACGAGUGUCAUUUCUGAAAUACAUCUUCUGUGUUUUACCACCAAGGCUCGUAUAAAUUUAUCUCCUAUAUAUACAUAAUGUUGGGUUUACUGAUGCACUAAUGAUUUGCUGAAGCUGGUGACAGUGUUUUCAGAUGAGAUGUCAAAUAAAGAUGAUUUCAGUUAA
This is a long non-coding RNA of Scatophagus argus, 1506 nucleotides long. RefSeq lists it as uncharacterized. The transcript is spliced from 2 exons. The record is from RefSeq and is a predicted model, not a curated record. Lineage: Eukaryota; Metazoa; Chordata; Actinopteri; Scatophagidae.